GACGAACGCUGGCGGCGCACUUAACACAUGCAAGUCGAACGGAAAGGCCUGCUUUCCCUUGUGGAUUGCGGGUACUCGAGUGGCGAACGGGUGAGUAACACGUGAGUGAUCUGCCCCCAACUUGGGUAUAAGCCUGGGAAACUGGGUCUAAUUCCCGAUAGGACUGCAGGGUGGUGCCUGUGGUGGAAAACGAUUUUCUAGUGGUUGGGGAUGAGCUCGCGGCCUAUCAGCUUGUUGGUGGGGUAAUGGCCUACCAAGGCGGCGACGGGUAGCCGGCCUGAGAGGGUGGACGGCCACAUUGGGACUGAGAUACGGCCCAGACUCCUACGGGAGGCAGCAGUGGGGAAUAUUGCACAAUGGGCGGAAGCCUGAUGCAGCGACGCCGCGUGGGGGAUGACGGCCUUCGGGUUAUAAACUCCUUUCGACCGCGAGGAAGCCACCUGGUUGGAAGGGUGGUGACGGUAGUGGUAGAAGAAGCACCGGCUAACUACGUG
Molecule: ribosomal RNA, 494 nt
Filed under: uncultured bacterium
Lineage: Bacteria
Description: partial 16S ribosomal RNA
Rfam family: Bacterial small subunit ribosomal RNA
Source: RNAcentral